RNAcentral lists this ribosomal RNA (467 nucleotides) under Enterococcus faecalis. RNAcentral describes it as "bacterial SSU rRNA". It matches the Rfam family "Bacterial small subunit ribosomal RNA", at positions 28 to 473 of the family's 1533-position model. Lineage: Bacteria; Bacillati; Bacillota; Bacilli; Lactobacillales; Enterococcaceae. The record is from RNAcentral.
GACGAACGCUGGCGGCGUGCCUAAUACAUGCAAGUCGAACGCUUCUUUCCUCCCGAGUGCUUGCACUCAAUUGGAAAGAGGAGUGGCGGACGGGUGAGUAACACGUGGGUAACCUACCCAUCAGAGGGGGAUAACACUUGGAAACAGGUGCUAAUACCGCAUAACAGUUUAUGCCGCAUGGCAUAAGAGUGAAAGGCGCUUUCGGGUGUCGCUGAUGGAUGGACCCGCGGUGCAUUAGCUAGUUGGUGAGGUAACGGCUCACCAAGGCCACGAUGCAUAGCCGACCUGAGAGGGUGAUCGGCCACACUGGGACUGAGACACGGCCCAGACUCCUACGGGAGGCAGCAGUAGGGAAUCUUCGGCAAUGGACGAAAGUCUGACCGAGCAACGCCGCGUGAGUGAAGAAGGUUUUCGGAUCGUAAAACUCUGUUGUUAGAGAAGAACAAGGACGUUAGUAACUGAACGUC